Molecule: unclassified non-coding RNA, 339 nt
Filed under: soil metagenome
Description: partial contains 5.8S ribosomal RNA, internal transcribed spacer 2, and large subunit ribosomal RNA
Rfam family: 5.8S ribosomal RNA (bases 1-120)
Source: RNAcentral
GAUGAAGAACGUAGCGAAAUGCGAUAAGUAGUGUGAAUUGCAGAAUUCAGUGAAUCAUCGAAUCUUUGAACGCACAUUGCGCCCUUCGGUAUUCCGUAGGGCAUGCCUGUUCGAGCGUCAUUUAAACCUUCAAGCUCUGCUUGGUGUUGGGUGUCUGUCUCGCCUCCGUGCGUGGACUCGCCUUAAAGACAUUGGCAGCCAGUGUAUUGGUCUUGAAGCGCAGCACAUUUUGCGACUCUUGCUGAUUAUCACUUGCAUCCAGUAAGCCUAUUUUAACACUUUUGACCUCGGAUCAGGUAGGGAUACCCGCUGAACUUAAGCAUAUCAAUAAGCGGAGGA